This is an RNA transcript of Lolium rigidum, 1785 nucleotides long. RefSeq lists it as uncharacterized. The record is from RefSeq and is a predicted model, not a curated record. The transcript has 9 exons. Lineage: Eukaryota; Viridiplantae; Streptophyta; Magnoliopsida; Poales; Poaceae.
CCGCCGGACGCCAACAGGAUGGCCUGGGCGGCCGCGUCAGACCUCGUGGUCAUGGAGGUGGAUUUGUUAUCUGAGGUGUUCGCUGAAUUCUGGAUGAACUGCCACCACAACGGAAGGUAAAUGCUGCUUGUGGCCAGUAGUCUGUGCUGUGCCUCCCACCGAGGCCCUCACCAUCGCGCUUCCAGGCUGUUUUGAGCGCCUGUGUCACCACGGCUAGCUACGCCCGCACCAUCGCAUUAUUUUCCGCGCGUGUGUCGCUCUUCCUGCUCAACCCAGGGUGCUCCCACCCUCCAGCGUGAUAUUUGCAUUUGAUGGUUUCCUGCAAAUGACAGAAUGUUGCUGUGGAGAAAUGUUGCGGGUGUUUCAGAUAUUUGCAUCUAAUGGUUUCCUUCAAAUGACAGAAUGUUGCCAUAGAGACAUAUCACGAAGGCAUUGCCGAGGAGGCGAAUGCAAUAGUAUUUAUGUUAUUUUCGGAAUAUUGGCUUCAAACUGUGUGCAUGCAACCAGGUAGAAGGAUGAAAUCAACAGAUCAAUGUCCAAGCUUUGAUUUGGUCUCAGAAAAACCAUGGUCAUUAUCAGGGUCAAGUUAUUUGCACCUUCCAAAAGAUUAUCAUUAGAAUCAGACUGAUAGAGAGGUUCACAUCAUUUGUGGCAGUGUUUCCCAUCUUUUGUCAUGUUACCAUACAAAGGGAAAUCUCAUGGGCUUCCAGCUCUUCUGAUUCUGAUCAAAGAUGAAGGUCGUGUUGUAGAUCAUGUUUCUUUUGGCACGGGUGUUGUUCAGGAUGUUUCACUCACAAAUAAUACUACAUCGAUUCCCCUACAGAGAAAGUACAAGAAAUUGAAUAAAGUUUAUUGUCACUUUAAGAGUUAUAUUUCUGAACCUGUGCCUUGCCUGCCAUAGCUCUGACAACAUAUCCUUAUGACUUUGUUUAGGAUGCUUAAUUUUCUUCCCAACUGCCCACUCUGCUCAGAAGUGUAUGUGCCGUUCUAUACUGAAGCAUGCUUCCACAUUCAGUUUAUUCAACAUAAUUUGCUUACCACAUUCAGUCUUAGAGUACUGUAUGGAGUAUCCAUGUCAGGAUGGGCUCUAAUCGGGAGGGUCAUCAGGGUCAUCUGUAUGCUUCCGUACGGACUUCGAAAACAGAAAUCUAUGGUUCACUCUCUAUUGAAAGCAUCAAGUUACCUGUCCCUUUUUGCAUUGGAGUUUUUGGUACCUAGAGAGUUCAGAUGACUGAAACUGAGGUGCAAGUAUUGUCAGUACUGGAUAAAGGGUGUUCUGAUUUUGUACUGAUGUGGUUAGGUUUGUAUGUGUUAUUUAACAUCUUCAUAUCCACUGGGGCAAAACAUGAGUUGAUCGUUCAAGAUUAAUUGCAGGACCAAAAUGAUACUCAAGCAGCUACAUUCAGAUGUCUGCAUAUGACGUUUACAAAUGUCCGGUGCUCAGGCUACCUACAAGAGUAAAGACUAUUUAGAUGGUAGUGUAGUUAUAUUACAUAUAUUUUUCAUCAGUAGUUGGUUUCAUGUUGAGUCGGAGAAAAAUGGGCAUGUAGAUCCAGAAGUAAUCACUUUUACUACAAACAAAAGGCGCUGGGUUUGAUAUGUGCCAGCACUGAAAUGAUAUUCAGCUCAUUUAGACAUAUGUUUGCCUUACUAUGGUGAGGCCCUGGACAUGUUGUCAGGAUCAUGGCAACUAUAGCACACCUUAUCAGUGUGUAUGUUGUAUUUCUGGUUGAUGACCAUGAUCGAUUUUCACACCAAUUAAGAGUUGAGUGGGUUAAUUUUAUU